UGCUUUAAGUCCUUUUUGUAAGCUUGGGAAUGUAUCCACGGAAAGGAUUUUUCAUAGACGGAAUUUCCAGAAGUGAAUCAUAACUACUGUUAGAGCAUAAGCAUGCAUGAUUGUGCUGUGUAGAUCAGUUUUGUUGAAAGUUUAGAUUGUUGUGUUUGUCAAUUAUAAUUUAAUGUUUCAGUUUUUAUAUGAAAUGUUGUAAAUGUAUACCUUUUUAAAAACUUGAAGUUCCAAUAACUUAAAGCAUUGAAAUAUAAAAUGAGGUAAAAGGUGUUUUGAAUUUAGUAAAACUGUUAUUUAAUGCUUAAAACUUAAUUGAAUUGUAUAAUUCUCAACAUUAAGUUGCAUAGAUAUGUGUUCUUAAGUUGUUGAAUUCUUAAUGCAUCCUGUGUUCAGCAAGUUUUUUUUAAUAUAUACUGUACCAUGGGUGUGUUAAGAAUAGUUAUACUUUAUAAUAAUGGAACUUCAUAUUAUUGCAAUGCAUAUUUAAAGAGUACUUGUUGAAAGCAUACCAUUCACCUAAAGUUAAAAAUUCUGGUUUAUUUAAAGCUAUAAGAAGAAUCAUUUCUGGGCUUGUGAUGUUAAUAUUGCCCCCCUACUGGGGUUAUUUGUCCUUGGGUUGAAGGGUUGGAAAUCGUGCCAAAUGGGAUAACAUUGCCGGUGGACUUCCAGGGGAGGAGUACGGGGGAGGCCUUCGUGCAGUUUGCUUCACAGGAAAUAGCUGAAAAGGCUCUAAAGAAACACAAGGAAAGAAUAGGGCACAGGUGGGGAUGGAUGGUUGGUUGGAUAUGUCACUUUUCUUAUGGUAAACAAUUAAAUCCAUAUUCUCUCUGCUUAAAAGAAGAAAUUAAUGUUUUGUAGUCCUAGGUAAUUGAUGUUUUGCCAUGAUUUCCAAACUUGUGUCAGUCCCACGUUACACGCAAACUAAAUUUUAGGUUUGAAAUUUGUCCCUAGUUAAUUGGUCUGCUUGACAAUUUUGUGAGUCUUAUUAACCCCAAUCAAUAGAGUUGAGAGACUAUGGCUUUAAAAAAUUAAUGCAAACCUGGCUUUAGCUGUAAUAACACCCACCUAGAAUAAAUUAAUAUUACCAUAAGAAAAUGUGAUACUUUCUGAUCUUGUUUUUAAAGUUGAAAUGCAACAAACUUUUUCUUGCUGUAUAUAAAUAUUCUGCAUAGUAUUAAUAAGCAUAGCUUUCAAGAAAUUGUCACAAAAGGUUUUAUUCUCUUUGCUUGUGACUAUUUUUCAUUGAAGCAUGCGCUUACCUAUGCUGAUUCUUACUAAAAGCAUAGGCUGGGGUAUUUAUUGGCGAAAGGAAAUGUGUAGUGUGGGCUGGACUGUUGGUGGAGGCUGGCUUUUUAGCCCACUUGCUAUACAUGCUGCCAAUGGAUUUAAGACUUGAAAUGUUGAAAGUUGAGUGGAAUUAUUUCCCUCCUAAAACAUUUAUUUACAGUACUCCUCUCUACCCCUAAGGUUGGGCUCUGCCUCAGAGGAGUGAGUUUUUUUUUUUUUUCUAUAAAGUUUACAUUGUCUUACUAUUUAUUGAGUGAAUUUCUGGUCAUUGCCUAUGCAAAUAUAAGAAAUCUGGCUUUAAAUAUUAGUCAGUUUCAUGGCUAUGACUAGAUUGUUUUCUUGUAUAACUAAAUACCUGUAUAAAAUGAACUAAUGUUUUCUCUCCCCUCCCUACCCCUUCCUUAUGAACAAUGCUUUAGGUAUAUUGAAAUCUUUAAGAGCAGUAGAGCUGAAGUUAGAACUCAUUAUGAUCCACCACGAAAGCUUAUGGCCAUGCAGCGGCCAGGUCCUUAUGACAGACCUGGGGCUGGUAGAGGGUAUAACAGCAUUGGCAGAGGAGCUGGCUUUGAGAGGAUGAGGCGUGGUGCUUAUGGUGGAGGCUAUGGAGGCUAUGAUGAUUACAAUGGCUAUAAUGAUGGCUAUGGAUUUGGGUCAGAUAGAUUUGGAAGAGACCUCAAUUACUGUUUUUCAGGAAUGUCUGAUCACAGAUACGGGGAUGGUGGCUCUACUUUCCAGAGCACAACAGGACACUGUGUACACAUGCGGGGAUUACCUUACAGAGCUACUGAGAAUGACAUUUAUAAUUUUUUUUCACCGCUCAACCCUGUGAGAGUACACAUUGAAAUUGGUCCUGAUGGCAGAGUAACUGGUGAAGCAGAUGUCGAGUUCGCAACUCAUGAAGAUGCUGUGGCAGCUAUGUCAAAAGACAAAGCAAAUAUGCGUAAGUGUGAUUGAGCAUUUGUGGGCUCUUAACAGGUGAUUGUGUGACUAACAUUUACAAUAGAGAAAUGGAAAAAUAAGGAUAUAUGAGAAGUUUCCUCUCCAGUAAUAGAUUAAUUCUUGGGGGAUGCGGGGGCAGUGUGUUGAAGGUUUGGGUUUUAAAAAUUAGUAUAACGGAUUUGUGAUAUGCACAUCUUGAAGUGUAUAUCCUUAAUUGACAAUACAGAUGAAUAUGUAAAGGCUAGAUUUUGGAGUUAAAGUAGAUCACCUAAGAGAAGUAGCUAGAAUUUCUUUGCCAAAGUAUUUGAAGUUCACAGAUCUGCUUGUUUAAAAACUUUAUAAAAGUGCUUAUUCUGUUUUGUUUCACCAACAAACAUUUUCAAACUUUUUUUUUCUCAUUUCAGAACACAGAUAUGUAGAACUCUUCUUGAAUUCUACAGCAGGAGCAAGCGGUGGUGCUUACGGUAGCCAAAUGCUAGGAGGCAUGGGUUUGUGUAAAUAUCACUUUAGUGUCUUUUUUUUAAGCUAACCUUGUAUGCCUUUUCUCUCAUUUCAGAACACAGAUAUGUAGAACUCUUCUUGAAUUCUACAGCAGGAGCAAGCGGUGGUGCUUAUGGUAGCCAAAUGAUGGGAGGCAUGGGCUUGUGUAAAUAUCGUUAGUUUUUUUAAAAACCAAAACGUUUAUAUCUGUAUAAGUCAAUUAUAAGUUAAGUUAAUCUAUUUAUUUAAUAAGUUUAGCAUAAGAAACUUAGGCAAAGCAGUUUCUUGAUAUUUGAGUUUUGUAUCUGGCUUACUUAAAUCCUUGUGAGUUAUGAAGUUCCUUAGGAUAGAUAAUUCAAAUUAGGUUUAAGUAGUCUUGGGGGAGGGGACUACGGAGUGAAACUACUUAAAUUUUCUAAGUAUAAAGUUUAAAUCAAUAGCAAAACAGGAUUAAGAUAAAUGUGGGCAUAAUUAGGUGUAUUGACAUGCCUUUGAUGUAUCAAACUGAGGGGGAACCCACUAAAUCCAGUCAAGCAGUUUCAUAAGAUCUUCACAAAAUGCCUCUACUUACGGAAUCAUGUUGAUUUUAGUCCUGCUGAUGUGUGUACCGUUAGCACUUUGGUUUAUCAAUAUUUGACUGGCUCAAAUGAUGGAUAGAAGGGUGGCCUGGUUAUAGACAGUAGGCAGAAGGAGGCAGAGGGUUACAGUAAUGUAAGAUCAAGACUGGAAAAUGAUAGCUAUAGAAUUACAAGCCCGGUACCACCAGGUACCACAUCACAUAAGAAAAAAGGUUCUAAUGUUUUCUUAACUUAACAGCAAACCAGUCCAGCUACGGGGGCCCAGCCAGCCAGCAGCUGAGUGGGGGUUACGGAGGCGGCUACGGUGGCCAGAGCAGCAUGAGUGGAUACGGUAAAGCCUGUUUGUUACUGUACUUAGAGUAAGUUAUGGUAAAGCCUGUUCAUUACUGUACUUAGAGUAAGUUAUGGUAAAGCCUGUUACUGUACUUAGAGUAAGUCGCAGGCAGGUGCCUUUAGUUGGGAAGAUGCAGGCUCCUUUCGGUGAAAUUGGGUUAUGAAAUGUAUGCUUUCAAUCCAAAUGUAACUGUUUUUACUAGCUAAUUUUCAGAAACAAUCAUUGGGAGGGGGAAGUGUUCUUUGAAUUAAGAACUAGUCAUUGCAGCUUUGGAAUACUGUCGAGCCAGAAAAUAUCUGCCUCCAUGUAUUAAAACAUUAAAUAAAGUUGUUCACUUUUUUGUCUUUUGGUUAGCAUUAAGUCAGUUUUAGACAGAGGGAGAAUUUGAAAUAGUAGAAUGGUGGUUGGGUUCAGGAUCGUAUUUAUUAGUCAGUUAACCUAGGAUUGGUUUUAUUUAUUUUUUUUCAAUUGGUCUAAAGAAUGGUGAUUUUGGUAUUAUAGUCUUACCCUACAAAAUCCUUUUGCAGACCAAGUUUUACAGGAAAACUCCAGUGAUUUUCAAUCAAACAUUGCAUAGGUAAAUAUUUUCUCAAAAAAUAUAAAUUCCCAAUAGCAAAUACUGAUAUGUUGUAAUAAUGCUUUCUAUAGCAGUCAAUGGCUCUGACUUAACUCCAUGGAGGCUGCCAUUUGGGCACAGUGAGUUGCCUUUAGUCCAGCUUGGUUGUCUCACUUCCUGCCCACCAUGAAUAGGAAAAGCAAGAGACUUCCCCUGUGCUCCCUUUUCUCAAAUGCCAUUCGAGGGACACAUUGUGAAUGUUUAUGUUAAAUUUUUUUUAAAAAUGCCUUGUUUAGCUUUAAAAAUACGAAGUAAUUUUGCAAUUUUUGAAAAACACUAGUUUUCCUUUAAACUUAAUUUUUCAUGUUGAUCCUGAAGAAUCCGUUAAAAUGGUAGCACAAGAGUCUGGCAAGUUGGUACUGCAGAGAAAAGGGGUUAAUUGAGGCUUGUUUGGAGUCGGGAUUCCCCUUUCCCAAACAUGCGUCUCGCCACUUGGACAGCAGCCAUUUGUACUCGUAUACUUUUUAAACUUUUUCUUGGAAUACUAUAUUUUAUUUGACUGGUAGUCUGAUAUUACUCCUAACUUGUCAAAUUGAUCUCUUUGCAGGUAACCAAGGAGCAGUGAACAGCAGCUACUACAGUAGUGGAAGCCGUGCAUCUAUGGGCGUGAACGGAAUGGGAGGGUUGUCUAGCAUGUCCAGUAUGAGUGGUGGAUGGGGAAUGUAAUUGAUCGAUCCUGAUCACUGACUCUUGGUCAACCUUUUUUUUUUUUUUUUUUUUUUCUUUAAGAAAACUUCAGUUUAACAGUUUCUGCAAUACAAGCUUGUGAUUUAUGCUUACUCUAAGUGGAAAUCAGGAUUGUUAUGAAGACUUAAGGCCCAGUAUUUUUGAAUACAAUACUCAUCUAGGAUGUAACAGUGAAGCUGAGUAAACUAUAACUGUUAAACUUAAGUUCCAGCUUUUCUCAAGUUAGUUAUAGGAUGUACUUAAGCAGUAAGCGUAUUUAGGUAAAAGCAGUUGAAUUAUGUUAAAUGUUGCCCUUUGCCACGUUAAAUUGAACACUGUUUUGGAUGCAUGUUGAAAGACAUGCUUUUAUUUUUUUGUAAAACAAUAUAGGAGCUGUGUCUACUAUUAAAAGUGAAACAUUUUGGCAUGUUUGUUAAUUCUAGUUUCAUUUAAUAACCUGUAAGGCACGUAAGUUUAAGCUUUUUUUUUUUUUAAGUUAAUGGGAAAAAUUUGAGACGCAAUACCAAUACUUAGGAUUUUGGUCUUGGUGUUUGUAUGAAAUUCUGAGGCCUUGAUUUAAAUCUUUCAUUGUAUUGUGAUUUCCUUUUAGGUAUAUUGCGCUAAGUGAAACUUGUCAAAUAAAUCCUCCUUUUAAAAACUG
Molecule: long non-coding RNA, 5564 nt
Filed under: Homo sapiens (human)
Lineage: Eukaryota; Metazoa; Chordata; Mammalia; Primates; Hominidae
Description: non-protein coding lnc-C5orf60-3:7
Source: RNAcentral